CUGCAGAGUUCCAUUAAUUCUCAGUUAAAGAAUCACUGACAUUGGUCUAAAAACUUUUCUGACCAAACGUCAUAGGCUGAACUGUUGACAUCAAAGUUUAAAACUCCUGUGUGCUGCUGGAAGUGCCUCCAGCUGGCUACUGAUGGAUUUGGUCCUCUGUUUGUUGUUUCUAAUGACACAAGCAUUUUUCCCCCUGAUGGAGAGACCUCAAUUACAGACACAUCAUCUCCAGGGUAAUUAGUUAUAAAUCAUCUUCACUGCAUUUCCCUGACACACAUAACGUUGUAUUUUUACUCUCAAGUUGUUGUGUUUUGGUCAGUUUGACUGAAGCAGUCUUUUAAUACUUGAAGGAGAAACCCCCUCCCAUCCCAAACAUUUUAAAGAAUGUUUUAUGAAAAGUCCAACAGCCAGAUGAGAAAGCCCAGUAUUAAGGAUGCACAUGAACUUUCAGGUCAACUUCUUGCUUCAGCUCUCUUUGGUCACUGAUAAAUUAUGAAUUCCUGCCUUCUUCACUUGCCCUAGGGAGAUUUACACACUAUUUUUUCCACUUCUCACAUAGUGUGUGUGGCCUUGAAAAUUGCCUGGUAAUAACUAUCCAAGUGCUGCUUCACUUACUCAUUGCAUUUCUCUAGGGCUUUCAAAAUGUUUUCCAAGCCUCUUAUGGAUAUGGAUGAACUCACCUUCCCAUAGCAGUUUCCAGAGUAGCAGGUGACAUUCCUGCUUUACACCAGGGAAACAGAAGCCCAGAAAGGUCAAGCCAAAAAUUCUCAUCUUGUAGGAAAUGUCACCCAGUCUGGGGUUUCUAGACCAAAACGUAGGCAGCUGGAAACCAGGAGUGUUCCCCUGUGAGAGGAGUACUUGCCAAAUAUUGUGAGUGUGGAUGGAGCUGAGAGGACAGCACAUCCCAUCUGCUGGAGCUCCUACAACUGGAUCUUCAGUAGGAAAUGAUCUUUCACUGGGAUUUAACAACCACAGGAACCUCAGGCUGGCUGAGUGAAAUGUUCCUUACAACAGUACUUCUGUGCUAAUGACAAUAAUAAGGAAACCAGCAAUUCAGUGCUGGAAGAUGCUGCUGAGGAAACAUUGACAUGAGGGCAGGUAAUUAGUGCUGCUGCUUCUAAUAAAAU
RNAcentral lists this long non-coding RNA (1127 nucleotides) under Cyanistes caeruleus (blue tit). Its description in RNAcentral is "lncRNA (ENSCCEG00000007297.1)". Lineage: Eukaryota; Metazoa; Chordata; Aves; Passeriformes; Paridae. The record is from RNAcentral.